UACGAAGGGGGCUAGCGUUGCUCGGAAUUACUGGGCGUAAAGCGCACGUAGGCGGCUCUUUAAGUCGGGGGUGAAAUCCUGGAGCUCAACUCCAGAACUGCCUUCGAUACUGAAGAGCUUGAGUCCGGGAGAGGUGAGUGGAACUGCGAGUGUAGAGGUGAAAUUCGUAGAUAUUCGCAAGAACACCAGUGGUGAAGGCGGCUCACUGGCCCGGUACUGACGCUGAGGUGCGAAAGCGUGGGGAGCAAACAGG
Molecule: ribosomal RNA, 253 nt
Filed under: uncultured bacterium
Lineage: Bacteria
Description: partial 16S ribosomal RNA
Rfam family: Bacterial small subunit ribosomal RNA
Source: RNAcentral